This 111-nucleotide ribosomal RNA is filed under the name uncultured bacterium. Its description in RNAcentral is "partial 16S ribosomal RNA". It matches the Rfam family "Bacterial small subunit ribosomal RNA", at positions 1373 to 1482 of the family's 1533-position model. The record is from RNAcentral.
CCCGGGCCUUGUACACACCGCCCGUCAAGUCAUGAAAGUCGGUAACACCCGAAGCCGGUGGCCCAACCCUUGUGGAGGGAGCUGUCGAAGGUGGGACUGGCGAUUAGGACU